UCCAACCCUUGCCGAAUGCUAGGGCGAGAACAAUUACAAAAGGAUCAAAAGAACUAGACUAGGCUAGUCUAUACAGAGCUCUCGUCCUUACUCGCAUCCCCUGUUAAAAAAAACAAAACUAACGGAAUGAGCUAAAAGCUCAGUGAGGUUCCAAACACAUAAACAAACAAACAGUUCAAUACAUUAACCAUAGAUAGCAAGUAAUUCAAGAAACAUGACAAUAUAAAGCGAUAAUAACAUUCAUUAAAAGGAUACGUGCUCACUUGGAGCCAUUC
This 275-nucleotide long non-coding RNA is filed under the name Coffea arabica (coffee). RNAcentral describes it as "long non-coding RNA (CARA_LNC006836)". The record is from RNAcentral. Lineage: Eukaryota; Viridiplantae; Streptophyta; Magnoliopsida; Gentianales; Rubiaceae.